AGUAAUAAUACUAAUAAUACUAAUAAUAUUACUAAUAUUAAUACAAAUAAUAAUUUUAAUAAUAAUACUAAUAAUAAUAAGUUUUUUUGACUUAGAUAUUUAUUUUCUUUUGAAGAUAGCAUGCAAUCGGCCGCUUACUUCCACGUGAGAUUGUGCUUUUGGUACGGUACGGAGCGUUGCAAUAAAUCUCAUCUCUUAUAUGUAUUCCGCUUCAGAAAAUGAACUACAUGUGAGGUGCACUGAUCGUACAUGCUCCUUGGGUUAUAUUUUUCAACUUUUUAGCUAGAAACUUAUUUGCAAUAUUUUUAUUUUACAUGGAGUUAAUUAUGUUGACAUCUAGCUUGGAAACCUCGUGUAGAAUUUAAAUUUCGGCAUCACUUUCACUUUAGUGGCAAUUUCGAGUCCUUCAAGGGAAGUUGCAUGUAGCUCAAGUCCGGUUCGAUCAUACGGAUACCUACAACUCAAAUUAAGUGGUAAGUUGAGUUACUUAUUAGGCCACAAUUUAAAGCUAUUAUGUAGCUGGUCAAUUUAUAGUCAAAUAGCUAUAGAACAAGUUGCAGCCUCUUAAGUAAGUAUCUUAAUUAAAAAAAGAAAAAUUUUUCAUCCAUUUUCCUAUCCUCCAUUUCACCUACUCUUCCUCUACCACCACCCAAGGCCACUGUAUGUUGCCUUUAGCCACUCUUCUUCACCUUCUCCACCAUUCUCAAGAGCUAUAUC
RNAcentral lists this long non-coding RNA (717 nucleotides) under Phoenix dactylifera (date palm). Its description in RNAcentral is "long non-coding RNA (PDAC_LNC001245)". The record is from RNAcentral. Lineage: Eukaryota; Viridiplantae; Streptophyta; Magnoliopsida; Arecales; Arecaceae.